GCAUCGGUGGUCUAGUGGCGAAGACUCCGUACUCGUACUACGGCGACGUCGGUUCGACUCCGGCUCGGUGCU
This 72-nucleotide transfer RNA is filed under the name Blastopirellula sediminis. RNAcentral describes it as "tRNA-Thr". It matches the Rfam family "tRNA". From Rfam's summary of the family: Transfer RNA (tRNA) molecules are approximately 80 nucleotides in length. Their secondary structure includes four short double-helical elements and three loops (D, anti-codon, and T loops). The record is from RNAcentral. Lineage: Bacteria; Pseudomonadati; Planctomycetota; Planctomycetia; Pirellulales; Pirellulaceae.